Molecule: ribosomal RNA, 397 nt
Filed under: uncultured bacterium
Lineage: Bacteria
Description: partial 16S ribosomal RNA
Rfam family: Bacterial small subunit ribosomal RNA
Source: RNAcentral
AUACGUAGGGGGCGAGCGUUGUCCGGAAUGAUUGGGCGUAAAGGGCGCGUAGGCGGCGCGGUAAGUCUGGAGUGAAAGUCCUGCUUUCAAUGUGGGAAUUGCUUUGGAUACUGCCGCGCUUGAGUGCAGGAGAGGUUAUCGGAAUUCCCGGUGUAGCGGUGAAAUGCGUAGAGAUCGGGAGGAACACCAGUGGCGAAGGCGGGUAACUGGACUGCAACUGACGCUGAGGCGCGAAAGUGUGGGGAGCAAACAGGAUUAGAUACCCUGGUAGUCCACACUGUAAACGAUGAAUGCUAGGUGUAAGAGGUAUCGACCCCUUUUGUGCCGGAGUCAACACAAUAAGCAUUCCGCCUGGGGAGUACGGCCGCAAGGUUGAAACUCAAAGGAAUUGACGGGG